UACAUGUAUAUAUACCAUAUACACUGGGAACUAUUGAUGUAAGUUCUGAAGUUCAAUGGUUGGAGAAUCAGAGCUCUGAUGUCCAAGGGCAGGAGAAGAGGAAUAUCCCAGCUCCAGGAGAGAAAAAGAACAGAAAUUGCCUUUCUCUGCUUUCUUCAUUCUCUCGAGGCCCCCAGCUAAUUAAAUGGUGCCUGCCCACAUUGAGGGCAGACCUUCCCCACUUAGUCUAGUCAGACUUACACACCAGUCUCCUCUGGAAACACCCUCAAAAACAUACCUUUACGAGUUCUCUAGUUACUUCUUAAUCCAGUCAAAUUGACACAUAAAACUAACCAUCACACCCUCUAUAAUGUGAUAUAUUUUAUAAGUAACUUAACAAACAAAAUCUUUGUAUUAACACAUUCUUUAUAAGUACUAAAAAUAAUCAUCCUAACUCUUCAAGCACACUUGAUGGGAAUUUGUACUUUUGAAGUAAUGUAUACAUAUAUUCAGUCUCUCUGAAUUCUGAUUGUGGUUCUGAUUUCACAAUUCUUGAAUAAAAAUUAAAGAUUUCAUUUUAAAAUCUGGCUAAAUAUAAGUGAAUUUUCAGGAUCUUUCUCCAAAACAGUGAUUCUCAGGUUUGGGAGGAUAAAGGCUUCUUUAUUAGGGAUCAGGAGAAGGAGCUUACUUUUGUUGCUGCUCAUUUUCUGCCUGGCUGGGGAAUGAGUAAUCAAAAAAACUGGAUUUAAUUUGCAACAGUAUUUACUAAGUGCUUACUGUAUACCACUAUUUCCUGCUACCACUUACAAGUCAACCUUUGGGUACUUCCUCUUCAGACUUCCUAAUGCUAUUUCCAGGUCGGUUGUCCCCUUCCAUCAGACCCAAGCCCCAGCAAGUCUACCCACUUUUGGAUAUUGGCUUAUCUUCUCCAGGCCAAGCAGUUAUGGUCAGCGUGUCACUGGCUCUGACAUCCAAAUUCUUCUUUAUCUUGAUAAUUU
RNAcentral lists this long non-coding RNA (977 nucleotides) under Marmota monax (woodchuck). Lineage: Eukaryota; Metazoa; Chordata; Mammalia; Rodentia; Sciuridae. The record is from RNAcentral.